UACGUAGGCAGCAAGCGUUGUUCGGAGUUACUGGGCGUAAAGCAUCCGUAGCCGGUCCUACAAGUCUUCCGUUAAAUCCACCUGCUUAACAGAUGGGCUGCGGAAGAUACUAUAGGGCUAGGAGGCGGGAGAGGCAAGCGGUACUCAGUGGGUAGGGGUAAAAUCCUCUGAUCCAUUGAAGACCACCAGUGGCGAAGGCGGCUUGCCAGAACGCGCUCGACGGUGAGGGAUGAAAGCUGGGGGAGCAAACCGG
This 253-nucleotide ribosomal RNA is filed under the name uncultured bacterium. RNAcentral's name for it is "partial 16S ribosomal RNA". It matches the Rfam family "Bacterial small subunit ribosomal RNA", at positions 524 to 776 of the family's 1533-position model. The record is from RNAcentral.